Long non-coding RNA from Mastomys coucha (southern multimammate mouse), 816 nucleotides. RefSeq lists it as uncharacterized. The record is from RefSeq and is a predicted model, not a curated record. NCBI's taxonomy places the organism in Eukaryota, Metazoa, Chordata, Mammalia, Rodentia, Muridae. The transcript has 5 exons.
UGGGCCUUCAGCUGAUAUGCCUGAAAGAUGUUCCUGUUCUACUCAAAAGGAAAGCAUAGAUGAAGGAACACUGCUGUACAAGACACACGUCCAGAUGCAUCAUGAUGAAGAAAACACUUGUAACCUGACUCCUACUGAGGUUCAGAGAAAAAAAGGUGACUUGGUCCAAGGGGGUCCACGAACCACUGGGAAUUCCGGGUCUUCAGUUCUCAACAGAUCCCAGCUAAAGACAAAGAGAGCCCAAGAACCCCUGGAGGGAUGAAGUUGUCAACGAAAUGCUGAACACAAGUAUAAAGCAAGAGUCAGUCUUAAAAACAAAGAAGACAUGUGGCAUGUGUGACAGUAUGGAUGAUCUCUGAAGACACACAAAGUGAACAAGCCUUGACAGAAAUAGAUGCUGCACACUGCCACUGGCUCUGAGGACAUCAAAUAAUGCAAGUAAAUGACCUGACAAGCGAACUGCUAUAAUCUGUAAUCACAGUGGGAAGACACAGUAAACAAACAGAAGACAUUCUCACAGAGCAGCAUUCUGCCUAUGCCACAAUGGUAACCGUUUCCAGUUCCACCUCUCUCUCCAGCCUGCUUCUUAGAGUCAUCAAUAGCCCAUCAAGACAAAGUGGAAACAAUACCUAUAUCUACAUCUUCAGAGCCAAGAGGGUCUGAGCAGAGAGCACUGUGGUGAACAGAGCAGGCGGGAGAUGAGGGAGAAAUGUCAUCAAUCAGGUUGUUUCAGAUCACCCUUUCAAGAACUGCACUUCAACAGUGAAGCAGAAGUGGAAAAUUGGCACCAGUCAAUAAAACAGCAAUUUCUCUCUC